Molecule: small nuclear RNA, 103 nt
Organism: Ailuropoda melanoleuca (giant panda)
Lineage: Eukaryota; Metazoa; Chordata; Mammalia; Carnivora; Ursidae
Source: Ensembl
GUGCUAGCUUCAGCAGCACAUAUACUAAAAUUGGAAUCAUACAGAGAUUAGCAUGGCCCCUGCACAAGGAUGAUGGAAAGACAAUGAACUGUUAACUAUAAAC